Molecule: ribosomal RNA, 439 nt
Filed under: uncultured Actinomycetales bacterium
Lineage: Bacteria; Bacillati; Actinomycetota; Actinomycetes; Actinomycetales
Description: bacterial SSU rRNA
Rfam family: Bacterial small subunit ribosomal RNA
Source: RNAcentral
ACGGGAGGCAGCAGUGGGGAAUAUUGCACAAUGGGCGAAAGCCUGAUGCAGCGACGCCACGUGAGGGAUGACGGCCUUCGGGUUGUAAACCUCUUUCAGCAGGGAAGAAGCGAGAGUGACGGUACCUGCAGAAGAAGCGCCGGCUAACUACGUGCCAGCAGCCGCGGUAAUACGUAGGGCGCAAGCGUUGUCCGGAAUUAUUGGGCGUAAAGAGCUCGUAGGCGGUCUGUCGCGUCUGGUGUGAAAUCCCAUGGCUCAACUGUGGGCUUGCAUCGGGUACGGGCAGACUAGAGUGCUGUAGGGGAGACUGGAAUUCCUGGUGUAGCGGUGGAAUGCGCAGAUAUCAGGAGGAACACCGAUGGCGAAGGCAGGUCUCUGGGCAGUUACUGACGCUGAGGAGCGAAAGCAUGGGGAGCGAACAGGAUUAGAUACCCUGGUA